This 67-nucleotide transfer RNA is filed under the name Cicadella viridis. Its description in RNAcentral is "tRNA-Asp". Lineage: Eukaryota; Metazoa; Arthropoda; Insecta; Hemiptera; Cicadellidae. The record is from RNAcentral.
AAAAAUUUAGUUUAUAAAAAAUAUUAAUUUGUCAAAUUAAAGAUGUUAAGUAACAAUUUUUUUUGCC